RNAcentral lists this ribosomal RNA (335 nucleotides) under Bacillus sp. (in: firmicutes). RNAcentral describes it as "bacterial SSU rRNA". It matches the Rfam family "Bacterial small subunit ribosomal RNA", at positions 934 to 1267 of the family's 1533-position model. Lineage: Bacteria; Bacillati; Bacillota; Bacilli; Caryophanales; Bacillaceae. The record is from RNAcentral.
CCCGCCCCCCGGGAGCAUGUGGUUUAAUUGAAGCAACGCGAAGAACCUUACCAGGUCUCCACAUCCUCUGACAAUCCUAGAGAUAGGACGUCCCCUUCGGGGGCAGAGUGACAGGUGGUGCAUAAGUCAGCUCGUGUCGUGAGAUGUUGGGUUAAGUCCCGCAACGAGCGCAACCCUUGAUCUUAGUUGCCAGCAUUCAGUUGGGCACUCUAAGGUGACUGCCGGUGACAAACCGGAGGAAGGUGGGGAUGACGUCAAAUCAUCAUGCCCCUUAUGACCUGGGCUACACACGUGCUACAAUGGACAGAACAAAGGGCAGGAACCGCGAGGUUAAG